This 253-nucleotide ribosomal RNA is filed under the name uncultured bacterium. RNAcentral describes it as "partial 16S ribosomal RNA". It matches the Rfam family "Bacterial small subunit ribosomal RNA", at positions 524 to 776 of the family's 1533-position model. The record is from RNAcentral.
UACGUAGGGUGCAGGCAUUAAUCGGAAUUACUGGGCGUAAAGCGUGCGCAGGCGGUUUGCUAAGACAGGUGUGAAAUCCCCGGGCUUAACCUGGGAACUGCGCUUGUAACUGGCAAGCUAGAGUGUGGCAGAGGGGGGUGGAAUUCCUGGUGUAGCAGUGAAAUGCGUAGAUAUCAGGAGGAAUACCGAUGGCGAAGGCAGGUCUCUGGGCUGAUACUGACGCUCAUGCACGAAAGCGUGGGGAGCAAACAGG